This 1369-nucleotide ribosomal RNA is filed under the name uncultured Ralstonia sp. Its description in RNAcentral is "bacterial SSU rRNA". It matches the Rfam family "Bacterial small subunit ribosomal RNA", at positions 60 to 1423 of the family's 1533-position model. The record is from RNAcentral. Lineage: Bacteria; Pseudomonadati; Pseudomonadota; Betaproteobacteria; Burkholderiales; Burkholderiaceae.
AGUCGAACGGCAGCAUGAUCUAGCUUGCUAGAUUGAUGGCGAGUGGCGAACGGGUGAGUAAUACAUCGGAACGUGCCCUGUAGUGGGGGAUAACUAGUCGAAAGAUUAGCUAAUACCGCAUACGACCUGAGGGUGAAAGUGGGGGACCGCAAGGCCUCAUGCUAUAGGAGCGGCCGAUGUCUGAUUAGCUAGUUGGUGGGGUAAAGGCCCACCAAGGCGACGAUCAGUAGCUGGUCUGAGAGGACGAUCAGCCACACUGGGACUGAGACACGGCCCAGACUCCUACGGGAGGCAGCAGUGGGGAAUUUUGGACAAUGGGCGAAAGCCUGAUCCAGCAAUGCCGCGUGUGUGAAGAAGGCCUUCGGGUUGUAAAGCACUUUUGUCCGGAAAGAAAUGGCUCUGGUUAAUACCUGGGGUCGAUGACGGUACCGGAAGAAUAAGGACCGGCUAACUACGUGCCAGCAGCCGCGGUAAUACGUAGGGUCCAAGCGUUAAUCGGAAUUACUGGGCGUAAAGCGUGCGCAGGCGGUUGUGCAAGACCGAUGUGAAAUCCCCGAGCUUAACUUGGGAAUUGCAUUGGUGACUGCACGGCUAGAGUGUGUCAGAGGGGGGUAGAAUUCCACGUGUAGCAGUGAAAUGCGUAGAGAUGUGGAGGAAUACCGAUGGCGAAGGCAGCCCCCUGGGAUAACACUGACGCUCAUGCACGAAAGCGUGGGGAGCAAACAGGAUUAGAUACCCUGGUAGUCCACGCCCUAAACGAUGUCAACUAGUUGUUGGGGACUCAUUUCCUUAGUAACGUAGCUAACGCGUGAAGUUGACCGCCUGGGGAGUACGGUCGCAAGAUUAAAACUCAAAGGAAUUGACGGGGACCCGCACAAGCGGUGGAUGAUGUGGAUUAAUUCGAUGCAACGCGAAAAACCUUACCUACCCUUGACAUGCCACUAACGAAGCAGAGAUGCAUUAGGUGCUCGAAAGAGAAAGUGGACACAGGUGCUGCAUGGCUGUCGUCAGCUCGUGUCGUGAGAUGCUGGGUUAAGUCCCGCAACGAGCGCAACCCUUGUCUCUAGUUGCUACGAAAGGGCACUCUAGAGAGACUGCCGGUGACAAACCGGAGGAAGGUGGGGAUGACGUCAAGUCCUCAUGGCCCUUAUGGGUAGGGCUUCACACGUCAUACAAUGGUGCAUACAGAGGGUUGCCAAGCCGCGAGGUGGAGCUAAUCCCAGAAAAUGCAUCGUAGUCCGGAUCGUAGUCUGCAACUCGACUACGUGAAGCUGGAAUCGCUAGUAAUCGCGGAUCAGCAUGCCGCGGUGAAUACGUUCCCGGGUCUUGUACACACCGCCCGUCACACCAUGGGAGUGGGCUUUACCAG